GGAGGGAUCAUUACAGAGUUGCAAAACUCCCAACCAUUGUGAACCUUACCUAGCGAUGCUCUGGUGGGCGGCCCUCGCGGCCGGCAGCCCCCUCGGGGGAGGCACCCCGCCGGACUCGUUAAACUCUUAUCAUGGCCUCUCUGAGUAACAAACAAAUAAGUUAAAACUUUCAACAACGGAUCUCUUGGCUCUGGCAUCGAUGAAGAACGCAGCGAAAUGCGAUAAGUAAUGUGAAUUGCAGAAUUCAGUGAAUCAUCGAAUCUUUUGAACGCACAUUGCGCCCGCCAGUAUUCUGGCGGGCAUGCCUGUUCGAGCGUCAUUUCAACCAUCAAGCCCCGUGCUUGUGUUGGGGACCUGCGGCCGCCGCAGCCCCCUAAAUACAGUGGCGGUCUCGUUGUCAUACCGAGUGCAGUAAUCUUCUACGCUUAGGGAAUGGCGGCGGGUUCUGGCCGUUAAACUACCAAAUUAUCAAGGUUGACCUCGGAUCAGGUAGGAAUACCCGCUGAACUUAAGCAUAUCAAUAAGCGGAGGAAAAGAAACCAACAGGGAUUGCCUCAGUAACGGCGAGUGAAGCGGCAACAGCUCAAAUUUGAAAUCUGGCUUCGGCCCGAGUUGUAAUUUGCAGAGGAAUCUUCUGGUGCGGUGCCGUCCGAGUCCCCUGGAACGGGGCGCCAUAGAGGGUGAGAGCCCCGUAUGGAUGGACGCCAAACCUGUGUGAAGAUCCUUCGACGAGUCGAGUAGUUUGGGAAUGCUGCUCUAAAUGGGAGGUAAAUUCCUUCUAAAGCUAAAUAUAGGCCAGAGACCGAUAGCGCACAAGUAGAGUGAUCGAAAGAUGAAAAGCACUUUGAAAAGAGGGUUAAAUAGCACGUGAAAUUGUUGAAAGGGAAGCGCUUGUGACCAGACUUGCGCCCGGGCGAUCAUCCGGCGUUCUCGCCGGUGCACUCGUCCGGGAACAGGCCAGCAUCGGUUUCCGCCGGGGGACAAAGGUCCCGGGAACGUAGCUCCUUAGGGAGUGUUAUAGCCCGGGGCGUAAUACCCUAGCGGGGACCGAGGACCGCGCAUCUGCAAGGAUGCUGGCGUAAUGGUCAUCAGCGACCCGUCUUGAAACACGGACCAAGGAGUCAAGGUUUUGCGCGAGUGUUUGGGUGUCAAACCCGCACGCGUAAUGAAAGUGAACGUAGGUGAGAGCUUCGGCGCAUCAUCGACCGAUCCUGAUGUAUUCGGAUGGAUUUGAGUAGGAGCGUUAAGCCUUGGACCCGAAAGAUGGUGAACUAUGCUUGGAUAGGGUGAAGCCAGAGGAAACUCUGGUGGAGGCUCGCAGCGGUUCUGACGUGCAAAUCGAUCGUCAAAUCUGAGCAUGGGGGCGAAAGACUAAUCGAACCAUCUAGUAGCUGGUUACCGC
Molecule: unclassified non-coding RNA, 1402 nt
Filed under: uncultured fungus
Lineage: Eukaryota; Fungi
Description: sequence contains 18S rRNA gene, ITS1, 5.8S rRNA gene, ITS2, 28S rRNA gene
Rfam family: Eukaryotic large subunit ribosomal RNA (bases 476-1402)
Source: RNAcentral